GGGGGGGUUUCCGCCCCUUAGUGCUGCAGCUAACGCAUUAAGCACUCCGCCUGGGGAGUACGGUCGCAAGACUGAAACUCAAAGGAAUUGACGGGGGCCCGCACAAGCGGUGGAGCAUGUGGUUUAAUUCGAAGCAACGCGAAGAACCUUACCAGGUCUUGACAUCCUCUGACAAUCCUAGAGAUAGGACGUCCCCUUCGGGGGCAGAGUGACAGGUGGUGCAUGGUUGUCGUCGCUCGUG
Molecule: ribosomal RNA, 241 nt
Filed under: Bacillus sp. (in: firmicutes)
Lineage: Bacteria; Bacillati; Bacillota; Bacilli; Caryophanales; Bacillaceae
Description: Bacillus sp. (in: Bacteria) partial 16S ribosomal RNA
Rfam family: Bacterial small subunit ribosomal RNA
Source: RNAcentral